UGACCGAGCAACGCCGCGUGAGUGAAGAAGGUCUUCGGGUGUAAAGCUCUGUAUUAGGGAAGAAAGAGAUUAGAAGGAAAUGACUAAUCAGUGACGGUACCUAAUGAGAAAGCCACGGCUAACUACGUGCCAGCAGCCGCGGUAAUACGUAGGUGGCAAGCGUUGUCCGGAAUUAUUGGGCGUAAAGAGUGCGUAGGCGGUCUAUUAAGUUCUAUUUGAAAGCCCAUGGCUUAACCAUGGAGGGUGAUAGGAAACUGGUAGACUUGAGUACAGGAGAGGAAGGUGGAAUUCCACGUGUAGCGGUGAAAUGCGUAGAUAUGUGGAGGAACACCAGUGGCGAAGGCGGCCUUCUGGCCUGUCACUGACGCUGAUGCACGAAAGCGUGGGUAGCAAACAGGAUUAGAUACCCUGGUAGUCCACGCCGUAAACGAUGAGUACUAAGUGUUGGGGGAAACCUCGGUGCUGAAGUUAACGCAUUAAGUACUCCGCCUGGGAAGUACGGUCGCAAGACUG
This 513-nucleotide ribosomal RNA is filed under the name uncultured Mycoplasmatota bacterium. RNAcentral's name for it is "bacterial SSU rRNA". It matches the Rfam family "Bacterial small subunit ribosomal RNA", at positions 384 to 896 of the family's 1533-position model. Lineage: Bacteria; Bacillati; Mycoplasmatota. The record is from RNAcentral.